AUAUAUAAAAUGAUAUAAUAUAAGUGAGAGUUAUAAGAUAGUGAAAAU
RNAcentral lists this non-coding RNA (48 nucleotides) under Trypanosoma brucei brucei. The record is from RNAcentral. Lineage: Eukaryota; Euglenozoa; Kinetoplastea; Trypanosomatida; Trypanosomatidae.